UAAGUAUUUCUUCCUCUUGUUCGGC
RNAcentral lists this non-coding RNA (25 nucleotides) under Drosophila melanogaster (fruit fly). The record is from RNAcentral. Lineage: Eukaryota; Metazoa; Arthropoda; Insecta; Diptera; Drosophilidae.